This 118-nucleotide microRNA precursor is filed under the name Schistosoma mansoni. Its description in RNAcentral is "microRNA sma-mir-8429 precursor". The record is from miRBase by way of RNAcentral. Lineage: Eukaryota; Metazoa; Platyhelminthes; Trematoda; Strigeidida; Schistosomatidae.
CGCGAGGAAAUAUGUUUCUAGCUGUUUUCUUUGCUUUGAGUAGUAAGUUCAUAAAUAUUUGAACCUUCGUUAGUUUUACUUGAGUCUGGAACCUGCAUUGAGUUCGUAUUUCCAUGUG